CCUACGGGGAGCAGCAGUGAGGAAUAUUGGUCAAUGGGCGCGAGCCUGAACCAGCCAAGUCGCGUGAGGGAGGACGGCCCUACGGGUUGUAAACCUCUUUUGCCGGGGAGCAACGGGCGCCACGUGUGGCGCCACUGAGAGUACCCGGAGAAAAAGCAUCGGCUAACUCCGUGCCAGCAGCCGCGGUAAUACGGAGGAUGCGAGCGUUAUCCGGAUUUAUUGGGUUUAAAGGGUGCGUAGGCGGAUCGUUAAGUCAGUGGUCAAAUUGAGGGGCUCAACCCCUUCCCGCCAUUGAAACUGGCGAUCUUGAGUGGAAGAGAAGUAUGCGGAAUGCGUGGUGUAGCGGUGAAAUGCAUAGAUAUCACGCAGAACCCCGAUUGCGAAGGCAGUAUGCCGGCUUCCGACUGACGCUGAAGCACGAAAGCGUGGGGAUCGAACAGGAUUAGAUACCCCUGUAGUC
Molecule: ribosomal RNA, 460 nt
Filed under: uncultured bacterium
Lineage: Bacteria
Description: partial 16S ribosomal RNA
Rfam family: Bacterial small subunit ribosomal RNA
Source: RNAcentral